RNAcentral lists this ribosomal RNA (507 nucleotides) under uncultured bacterium. RNAcentral's name for it is "partial 16S ribosomal RNA". It matches the Rfam family "Bacterial small subunit ribosomal RNA", at positions 28 to 507 of the family's 1533-position model. The record is from RNAcentral.
GACGAACGCUGGCGGCGUGCCUAAUACAUGCAAGUCGAACGCAUUUUCUUUCACCGUAGCUUGCUACACCGAAAGAAAAUGAGUGGCGAACGGGUGAGUAACACGUGGGUAACCUGCCCAUCAGCGGGGGAUAACACUUGGAAACAGGUGCUAAUACCGCAUAAUUCCAUUUACCGCAUGGUAGAUGGGUGAAAGGCGCUUUUGCGUCACUGAUGGAUGGACCUGCGGUGCAUUAGCUAGUUGGUGGGGUAACGGCCUACCAAGGCUGCGAUGCAUAGCCGACCUGAGAGGGUGAUCGGCCACACUGGGACUGAGACACGGCCCAGACUCCUACGGGAGGCAGCAGUAGGGAAUCUUCGGCAAUGGACGCAAGUCUGACCGAGCAACGCCGCGUGAGGGAAGAAGGUUGUCGGAUCGUAAAACUCUGUUGUUAGAGAAGAACAAGGAUGAGAGUGGAAAGUUCAUCCCUUGACGGUAUCUAACCAGAAAGCCACGGCUAACUACGUG